CAGAGAAUUUCCGUUAUGGCUCCAGAUUGAACGCUGGCGGGAUGCUUUACACAUGCAAGUCGAACGGCAGCACGGACUUCGGUCUGGUGAGUAGUGGGUGAGUAAUGUAUCGGGAACGUGCCUAAAGUAUAGGGAUAACCGCGGCGUAGCUAAUACCGCAUACGCCCUUCGGGGGAAAGCGGGGGACCUUCGGGCCUCGCACUAUUAGAGCGGCCGAUAUUAUCGGAUUAGCUAGUUGGUACAGGAGUAACGGCUCACCAAGGCGACGAUCCGUAGCUGGUUUGAGAGGACGACCAGCCACACUGGGACUGAGACACGGCCCAGACUCCUACGGGAGGCAGCAGUGGGGAAUUUUGGACAAUGGGGGAAACCCUGAUCCAGCCAUCCCGCGUGUGCGAUGAAGGCCUUCGGGUUGUAAAGCACUUUUGGCAGGGGGAAAGAAACGGCCUGGGAUAAUACCCCGUGCAGCUGACAGUACCUGCAGAAUAACCACUAAUAACUACGUGCCAGCAGCCGCGGUAAUACGUAGGGUGCAAGCGUUAAUCGGAAUUGCUGGGCGUAAAGCGUGCGCAGGCGGUUCGGAAAAGAAAGAUGCUUGAAAUCCCAGAGCUUAACUUUGGAACUGCAUUUUUAACUACCGAGCUGAGUGUGGGGAGAUGGAUUGCCGUGUAGCAGUGAAAUGCGUAGAUAUGCGGAGGGAACACCGAUAGCGAAGGCAGCCUCCUGGGAUAACACUGACGCUCAUGCACGAAAGCGUGGGAGCAAACGGGAUUAGAUACCCUGGUAGUCCACGCCCUAAACGAUGUCAGCCAGCUGUUGGGGCCUUCGGGCCUUGGUAGCGCAGCUAACGCGUGAAGUUGACCGCCUGGGAGUAUUACGGUCGCAAGAUUAAAACUCAAAGGAAUUGACGGGGACCCGCACAAGCGGUGGAUGAUGUGGAUUGAAUCGUGCAACGCGAAAAACCUUACCUACCUUGACAUGUCUCACAAGUCCGAAGAGAUUUGGGAGUGCUCGCAAAACCGGAACACAGGUGCUGCAUGGCUGUCGUCAGCUCGUGUCGUGAGAUGUUGGGUUAAGUCCCGCAACGAGCGCAACCCUUGUCAUUAGUUGCUACGAAAGGGCACUCUAAUGAGACUGCCGGUGACAAACCGGAGGAAGGUGGGGAUGACGUCAAGUCCUCAUGGCCCUUAUGGGUAGGGCUUACACGUCAUACAAUGGUCGGGACAGAGGGUCGCCAAUACGAGAAGGCUAAUCAGAAACGAUCGUAGUCCAGAUCAUAGUCUGCAACUCGACUGCGUGAUCAGAAUCGCUAGUAAUCGCGGAUCGGCAGCCUUCGCGGUGAAUACGUUCCCGGGUCUUGUACACACCGCCCGUCACACCAUGGGAGUGGGUUUUACCAGAAAAUAGUUAGCCUAACCGUAGGCAGUUACCACGGUAGGAUUCAUGACUGGGGGUGGGGAAGUCGUAACAAAGGUAG
This 1477-nucleotide ribosomal RNA is filed under the name uncultured Bordetella sp. RNAcentral's name for it is "partial 16S-23S ribosomal RNA intergenic spacer". It matches the Rfam family "Bacterial small subunit ribosomal RNA". The record is from RNAcentral. Lineage: Bacteria; Pseudomonadati; Pseudomonadota; Betaproteobacteria; Burkholderiales; Alcaligenaceae.